Labrus bergylta (ballan wrasse) is the source of this 712-nucleotide non-coding RNA. The record is from RefSeq and is a predicted model, not a curated record. NCBI's taxonomy places the organism in Eukaryota, Metazoa, Chordata, Actinopteri, Labriformes, Labridae.
UAUCAGCUCUUGGUUAUAAAUAUUUACAUAUAGUUAAAAUAUUGAAAUGAUGAUUGUAAUAUAUUUCUAUGUAAUAUAAAUUUGUUUUGAGCUCAGACAGUGCCGUUUUGCAUUGCUGAGGGAGCAGAGGUGCAGAAAACAAAUGUCCAGAAGGCACAUUGAAUGUUCUUUUGUCUUCUGCAGGAAAUAAAAGCUGGAAAACAGUCAAAGUCUGGUUUUCUUCACUCCCCUGACCACAUCCGUUACACUCGGCAGAAGUGGACUCUAAUGAUGAUGACUUCAGUCCUGUCUGACCCUGACAGCUGGCUUGUUUGUUUCUCCUGGUUCAUGAUACCUGAACAUCGUCACUGCUUUACAGGAGGUGGAGGUCGGAGCAGGCCGUGCAUGAAUGAGGACGGCGGUGGUUGAGGGACAACACAGUCCGAUGGUGGUGGCUGGGCAUCAGGGAAAUGUAGAAAUGAAACCAAGAAACCAGUUGCAUCUUGCAACCAACUUUAAUCCAGCAGAGACCUUUAAAACCAAGUGUCUGUCCCCAGACCAACAGCAACACUUGACAUAUUUGCUGUUAGACAUGUACCUACUCAUGUGGGAACUUUUUGUUCAUCUAAUCCCAGCACAUUCAUACAUCCCGAUGUUAAAUCCUUCGUUCGGGAUCCUUUUAGCAACUGUUCAUUUGAUACCACUUACUCUAAUAAAUAUUUGCGUACAUUCA